AGCCCUAUAGCUAGCCUAACCCCCUAAAACCAACAGACCAAUAUUUAAUGUACCCUAAUGCAUUAAGCAACAUAAAACAAACCAUUUUUCCCUCUUAGUAUGGGAGACAGAAAAGAGAC
This 119-nucleotide ribosomal RNA is filed under the name Coris dorsomacula (pale-barred coris). Its description in RNAcentral is "partial 16S rRNA". The record is from RNAcentral. Lineage: Eukaryota; Metazoa; Chordata; Actinopteri; Labriformes; Labridae.